CAGGCUUAACACAUGCAAGUCGAGGGGCAGCAUGGUCUUAGCUUGCUAAGGCCGAUGGCGACCGGCGCACGGGUGAGUAACACGUAUCCAACCUGCCGUCUACUCUUGGACAGCCUUCUGAAAGGAAGAUUAAUACAAGAUGGCAUCAUGAGUCCGCAUGUUCACAUGAUUAAAGGUAUUCCGGUAGACGAUGGGGAUGCGUUCCAUUAGAUAGUAGGCGGGGUAACGGCCCACCUAGUCUUCGAUGGAUAGGGGUUCUGAGAGGAAGGUCCCCCACAUUGGAACUGAGACACGGUCCAAACUCCUACGGGAGGCAGCAGUGAGGAAUAUUGGUCAAUGGGCGAGAGCCUGAACCAGCCAAGUAGCGUGAAGGAUGACUGCCCUAUGGGUUGUAAACUUCUUUUAUAAAGGAAUAAAGUCGGGUAUGCAUACCCGUUUGCAUGUACUUUAUGAAUAAGGAUCGGCUAACUCCGUGCCAGCAGCCGCGGUAAUACGGAGGAUCCGAGCGUUAUCCGGAUUUAUUGGGUUUAAAGGGAGCGUAGAUGGAUGUUUAAGUCAGUUGUGAAAGUUUGCGGCUCAACCGUAAAAUUGCAGUUGAUACUGGAUAUCUUGAGUGCAGUUGAGGCAGGCGGAAUUCGUGGUGUAGCGGUGAAAUGCUUAGAUAUCACGAAGAACUCCGAUUGCGAAGGCAGCCUGCUAAGCUGCAACUGACAUUGAGGCUCGAAAGUGUGGGUAUCAAACAGGAUUAGAUACCCUGGUAGUCCACACGGUAAACGAUGAAUACUCGCUGUUUGCGAUAUACGGCAAGCGGCCAAGCGAAAGCGUUAAGUAUUCCACCUGGGGAGUACGCCGGCAACGGUGAAACUCAAAGGAAUUGACGGGGGCCCGCACAAGCGGAGGAACAUGUGGUUUAAUUCGAUGAUACGCGAGGAACCUUACCCGGGCUUAAAUUGCAGAUGAAUUACGGUGAAAGCCGUAAGCCGCAAGGCAUCUGUGAAGGUGCUGCAUGGUUGUCGUCAGCUCGUGCCGUGAGGUGUCGGCUUAAGUGCCAUAACGAGCGCAACCCUUGUUGUCAGUUACUAACAGGUUCCGCUGAGGACUCUGACAAGACUGCCAUCGUAAGAUGUGAGGAAGGUGGGGAUGACGUCAAAUCAGCACGGCCCUUACGUCCGGGGCUACACACGUGUUACAAUGGGGGGUACAGAGGGCCGCUACCACGCGAGUGGAUGCCAAUCCCCAAAACCUCUCUCAGUUCGGACUGGAGUCUGCAACCCGACUCCACGAAGCUGGAUUCGCUAGUAAUCGCGCAUCAGCCACGGCGCGGUGAAUACGUUCCCGGGCCUUGUACACACCGCCCGUCAAGCCAUGGGAGCCGGGGGUACCUGAAGUGCGUAACCGCGAGGAGCGCCCUAGGGUAAAACUGGUGACUGGGGCUAAGUC
Molecule: ribosomal RNA, 1440 nt
Filed under: uncultured organism
Description: 16S ribosomal RNA
Rfam family: Bacterial small subunit ribosomal RNA
Source: RNAcentral